AGUUUGGGGACACGGAGUCGUUGGCCAAACUUGCGCAGGGAUUUCAGUCGGCCGUGUCCGGGUGAGUCUAUGUUGAGAGCGACGUUCCUGAAUGGUAUGGUGGUGAUGCUGGUCUAGACUUGCGGUGCACUACGAGCAUCUUGAGUAUUCGUGAAAAUCCGUUGCACGUCAGUUUGGCCCAAGCAGAGAACGUUGAUUGGCGACGCGUCAGAAAGGUUCCAUUUUGUGACGAUGGGCUGCCUUAGCUAAUCGAUUGAUCAAGAGAAGCUGCAGAAGUUUGUCGCACUGGCUGAAGAGGACAGCAAAAUUCCAAAAUCUGUCUGUAUUGAGGUGAGUUCAGUUUGGUGGGAAAAAAGCUGCCACGACGAGCUUACCCGAAUCCUCGUAGAAAACAAUUCAGGUUUAUCUCUGUUAGUUCGGUCCGGUUGUUGAUUGGUUUCGUUCUGGCACACGACACAUACGUAGAGUAGGUGGCCAAUCCGAGAAGAUUUUGCACGCCAUGCACAGCCAUGCUUCUAUUAAAUACGGAUUACAGGGUACUAGCAGAGAGGACUAGGGUGUAGUUGACUACUUGUACACAACAGAAAUUCAGGAGGAUCGCGAUGAGGUAGGAAGGGAAGGGGGAUGGCCAGGAGAGCGGACGGCGGGGGAAGCACAACCGGGGAAACCAUGGAAGAAGGCCGGCAGCAUGGAGAGCAGGCGAGGUACCAGAGUUCAGAAGAUGGAGGCGGUAGCAGCGACAGAUGCAGCGGCGGCAACGAGAUGAUCUCCGUCCAGUUCAUGCAGAAGGUAUGGCUGAUAAUGCUGUUACAAAAUUAAAGUGCUCCGAGCAUAUCUGCUCUGUUCGUUAUGCUCAGUGUUCACUGUUCAGUACCAUCAGUGAUGCCGUUGCCUACUUGCCUUUGCUUGCUGGUUACCACUAGCUGUCAGUGCUAAAUCCUUCGUGGCGUGGAGGCUGUAAUUUUAGGGGUAGUGAAGCAGUAGUAGCGAUGCAAUGUACAGUAACAGUACUGAUCAGCUGUCAAAGCUCAGCACUGCACAGUAGUAGUGCAAAUUUAAAUUGUACCCCUAGACAAGUUUCCCGACAGAUUUUCAGCACAAUCAACACCGAUCUGGAAGCACAGAGCUGAAAAUAAAUGCGAAUUCACAAUGUACUCUACAUAUGAAUCGAAAUUCGAAUGAGGAUGAAUGAUGUGUUCUUUGAUUGAUGGGUGCAUGGAACGAACGAGAGCAUGCAGAUUGUGGCGGAGGUCCUGGGGACCUACUUCAUCAUCUUCGCUGGGUGCGGCUCCGUGGUGGUGAACCUGAGCACCGAGGGCACGGUGACGUUCCCGGGCAUCUGCGCCGUGUGGGGGCUCGUGGUGAUUGGGCUGAGACGUUCUUAGUUGGGUUUUUUUUUGCCUUGGCGCACUCGCAGGCCCAUUACGGGUGCGUCGAUGAACUCGGCGCGGACCUUGGGCCCAGCGAUCGUGGCAGGCCGGUACAAGAGCAUCUGGGUGUACAUGGUUGGGCCGGUGUGCGGGACGGUGGCGGGAGCGUGGGCCUACAACCUGGUCCGCUUCACCGACAAGCCGCUGCGCGAGAUCAACAAGAGCGGCUCGUUCCUCAGGAGCGCGCGCAUCAUCAAGUAAAAGCAAUACUUAAGCGCGCGUAACCGGUAAUGUUUCCAACGCAGUUGCUGCUAGAAGCAUGAAGCACCCAACAAGAAAACUCUGUACUCUUAUAUCUCUUGUGUUGGCUAAUUUGUGAGUAAAAAUAGUAUCCAGAAUUCAUAUAUAUUGCCCUGGAGCACUGUAUCAUCAUAAGAGAGCGAGCAAUUAUUUUUCUUUUGGAUAUGGAGAAAUAAAUCAGGUACAAAGACUGAGUGCAACUCAUACUAUAGAUGUACAUGCAGCCCGCAGCCCGGUAGCCCAGCACGAAGCCCGUCUUUUUGGUCCGAACCUAGUCCGGCCCGGCCUGUAACUCUUCGGACUCGGGCUGACCCAGCCCGCAUGCUAGUUCCGGGCGUGGGCCGGUGCCUUGGCCCGACGGGCGGCACGGCCCAGCACGAAAGCGAACCGCUGGCCCGUUGCCGGCCCAUCAAGCGAACAGCCGGCUGGCCUAGGCAGCCCACCAUUCCACCAACGGUCGGGAGGGGGGCAUAUAUAAACCCCCCGUGGCCGGCCGUGCCCCUCUCCGCAAACCCUACCGGCCUACCCCAUUCUCCCCACUGCCCGCUGCCUCCUCGCCUCAACAGCUCGACUUCGACUCCUCUGCUCUAGGCUUCUCGCCUCCUCGGCUCCUCCUGUCCCGUCCCGCACCCACAGUCCCGCGUCCCGGCGACGGCCAACAGCGACCGGCAUGCCGCCUCCUCACCUCGACUCCUUCGCUCCCGGCUUACCUCCUCCGCGCCUCCGCCUGACCGCCCCUCUGGCUCCCUGCCUCCCUGGUGCCUUGCCGGCUUGCCACCGGCACCGCCUCCUCGCCUCGAUUUCUCUGCUCCCUCUUCCUCACCUCCUCCCAUCCCGCCUCCCUAUAUCUGGAUCUAGAACCUCUUGAUCCUCUUCUUGUUCUCCUGAUCCUUUUCUUGUUUUCCUGAUCUUGUUCCUAUCGUCCUCUCCGGCUCCGGGCUGUGGCGUCACAGGUAACUGUCUUCUUCUCCUGCUCCGGGCUCCGGCGUCGCAGGUAUUCGUCGCCCGUCGGGUGCUGCGUGUCGUUGAGUGACAGAGCGGUUGAGGCCUGAGAGACGCCCCGGCUGCCGCCUGCCACAGGAGGUCGUCUUGAUGGAUGAGAGCUACACCAUCAACGACAACCUAAGGGCUUGUGGCCUGCCAGGCGACGAUGAGGACGACGUGGCUACUGGAGCCGUGGCACUUUUCGGUAGUUCUGCUGCUCCUGUCAAUGUGGAUGCUGCCGGUGCUGGAGGUUCUGCCCCAUCUUCUACCCCAUCUUCUACCGCGACUACAUCAAUGGGCACAAGUGUCCGCAAGGGGAAGCGGCGAUCUGCUGCCUGGAACGACUUUGAGGAGUUGUUCCAGGAAGACGCCAACGGUAAGAAGGUAAGGUACACUGCCAAGUGUUGUCAUUGUUCUCACAUUCUUACUGGUCGGUCUUGUGCUGGUACUGGGCAUUUGCUCCGGCACCAGAAGAUGUGCUUGGCUAAACAAAACCAUUCUUCUCUUGUUCAGUCGCAACUGCAAUUCAAUUCUGAUAUUGGGAAUACAAGCCUGAUCUUGCUCGUAAAGAAUUGUGCUGGUUGAUUGCUAGACUUGAUCUACCCCUAGGCUUUGGUGAGACAGAGGCAUUUGUGGAGUACAUCUAGCGUGCACAUAACCCUCGUUUUGCUAAAGUUACUAGACAUACUACUUCUAGAGAUAUUACCAAGUACUUUACCUUGCGUCAUGUUUCUCUUAUUGAUACUUUGAAUUCUCAUGUUUCUUCUGUCAGUCUUACUUCUGAUAUUUGGUCUAGCAAUGCUAAGGAGGACUACCUUAGUGUUGUUGCAUAUUUUGUUUCUGCUGAUUGGGAAUUAGAGAAGAGAGUCAUUGCUGUUAGGUUGAUUGAUUGCUCCCGUUCUAGUGUUAACAUUGCUGAGUGUAUUGAACAAGUAGUUUCUGAGUUUGGUUUACAGGAUAAAAUUUUCUCUGUCACACUUGACAAUGCUUCUGCUAAUACUUCUGCCAUGUCCACACUUAUUGCCAAAUUUAUUGGUUAUCUAGGUCCAGAUCCUAAACCUCUUGAUUCUGAUUCUGAUAAAGCACUUGUUGGUCUUUUGCAUCAUCAACGCUGUGCAUGUCAUAUUAUCAAUCUCAUAGUCAAGUCCAGUUUGAAGAGGAUCAAGUCUUAUCUUGAGGCUUUUAGGACUGCAAUCUCUUUUUUGAACUCUUCUAAUCAACGCAUUGCAGCUUUCCAUAACUUCUGCAUUGUCAAGGGGGUACGCCCUCGUAAGUUUGGUUUAGAUAUGGAUGUGAGAUGGAAUUCUACAUAUCUCAUGCUCAAACAUCUACUACCAUAUAAGACUGUCUUUUCUGUCUUUAUUUCUGCUCAUUAUGGUUUGCACAAUGGCCAACCACUUCUGACUAAAAGCCAUUGGGUAAUUGCUGAGAAAAUUUUGCUGUUCCUUGAAAUGUUUUAUGAUUCCACUGUUGCUUUAUCUGGUGUUUACUAUCUAACAAGUCCUUUGAUGUUGCAUCAUAUUAUUGAGAUUGCUGGUCAUUUGCAUGGCUAAGAUUCUGAUCCAUUGCUCAGAAACAUUGUUGUUCCCAUGAAGCUUAAGUUCCUCAAGUAUUAGCAGAACAUACCUCUAUUGUAUUCCUUUUGCAUUCAUUUUGGAUCCUAGAGCCAAGGUGAGAGGUUUUCAUAAUGUUCUCCAACUUCUUUCUCAGACAGUUGCUGUUGAUUACUCUUCUUAUUUCACUGAGGUAAGAAUUGAAUUAUAUAAGUUGUUUAACAAGUAUGAAAACAAGUUUGGUGCAGUUAGGACGCAAAGGUCCUCUCAACCUACAGCUGCUACUGGUAAGAAAAGAACAGCAUGUGGUAAGAUCUUUGGUGGUCCUGGUCCAUCUGGUUCGUGUGGUUCUCCUGUUCUUUCAUCUACACCUCCUAUAUCUCCUGCUUUUGAGCUGUCAUUCUACUUGGACAAUGAUACUAUUACUUGCUAUGAUGAUGACUUCAACAUAUUUAGUUGGUGGCAUGAGCUCAAGCUAUCCUAUCCUAUUCUGUCCAUACUUGCUAAAGAUGUUAUGUCUGUUCCAGUUUUUAUUGUUUCUUCGGAUCUUGUUUUAGUCUAACUGGCAGGGUGAUUGAGGAGCGGCACCGACAGUUGUUGCCGGAGAUGGUGGAGAUGCUGACCUGCCUCAAGGAUUGGGAGUUGGGAGAUGCAAGGGCACAACAUGAUGUUGAGAAGGAGGUCAAUGAACUUGAGAAAACUUACAAAAGUCCCUACCCAGAUCAAGAUGAAGGCCAAGCUAGUCAGCCUACCCCAGGAGCAAGCUGAAUUGCUGGAGGGUUGGAGGAUGAAGCUGAAGCCUGUUGGACUGUUGCUUGUUGGUGUUGGCUUGGCAAGUUGGGUGUUCUAGUUCUAUACUUUUAUAUCUCUGUGUGUGUCUCAAUGUCUGUAAACUGUAAUGUUGAAUUGAACUUGAGUCUUGAGCUGGCUGUACUCGUUUUCCCUUCCUAGGAUUUUCUCACAAGGGUGAGUUUUUACCUAGGAAGGUUUUUAAUGAGGCAGGCAACACUUGAUCACAUAGAUCAAGUGUUAACGGCUCUAAUAAUUCCUUUAUUAUGAAUUUCUGUGUGAUUGUGUGCA
Setaria italica (foxtail millet) is the source of this 5287-nucleotide RNA transcript. RefSeq lists it as uncharacterized. The record is from RefSeq and is a predicted model, not a curated record. NCBI's taxonomy places the organism in Eukaryota, Viridiplantae, Streptophyta, Magnoliopsida, Poales, Poaceae. The transcript has 5 exons.